RNAcentral lists this small RNA (106 nucleotides) under Algibacter pectinivorans. Its description in RNAcentral is "Flavo-1 RNA". The record is from RNAcentral. Lineage: Bacteria; Pseudomonadati; Bacteroidota; Flavobacteriia; Flavobacteriales; Flavobacteriaceae.
GAUAAGUUGCGUUAGGGAUUGAAGCGGCAUCCUUUUUUUGCUGCCAUAAAUGGCAAAAAAAGACCUGCCUGCCGGCAGGCAGGUACAGCGUAAAGCCCGACCGCCU